This 353-nucleotide ribosomal RNA is filed under the name uncultured bacterium. RNAcentral's name for it is "bacterial SSU rRNA". It matches the Rfam family "Bacterial small subunit ribosomal RNA", at positions 975 to 1346 of the family's 1533-position model. The record is from RNAcentral.
CAACCCUUGACAUCCUUAUUGCGGUUACGAGAGAUCGUUUCCUUCAGUUUGGCGGGAUCAGUGACAGGUGCUGCAUGGCUGUCGUCAGCUCGUGUCGUGAGAUGUUCGGUUAAGUCCGGCAACGAGCGCAACCCACAUCCCUAGUUGCCAGCAGUUCGGCUGGGCACUCUAUGGAAACUGCCCGUGAUAAGCGGGAGGAAGGUGUGGAUGACGUCAAGUCCUCAUGGCCCUUACGGGUUGGGCUACACACGUGCUACAAUGGUGGUGACAGUGGGUUAAUCCCCAAAAGCCAUCUCAGUUCGGAUUGUCGUCUGCAACUCGACGGCAUGAAGUCGGAAUCGCUAGUAAUCGCG